RNAcentral lists this ribosomal RNA (624 nucleotides) under uncultured bacterium. Its description in RNAcentral is "bacterial SSU rRNA". It matches the Rfam family "Bacterial small subunit ribosomal RNA", at positions 64 to 664 of the family's 1533-position model. The record is from RNAcentral.
GAACGAGAAAGCUUCCUUCGGGAAGCAAGUAGAGUGGCGCACGGGUGAGUAACGCGUAGGUAAUCUACCCUUAUGACUGGGAUAACAUUGGGAAACUGGUGCUAAUACCGGAUACACUUCUUUACUGCGGGGUAAAGGAGGAAAGGUGGCCUCUUCAUGAAAGCUACCGUAUAGGGAUGAGCCUGCGUACCAUUAGCUAGUAGGCGGGGUAACGGCCCACCUAGGCAACGAUGGUUAGCGGGUCUGAGAGGAUGAUCCGCCACACUGGAACUGGAACACGGACCAGACUCCUACGGGAGGCAGCAGUGAGGAAUAUUGCGCAAUGGGGGAAACCCUGACGCAGCGACGCCGCGUGAGUGAGGAAGGUUUUCGGAUCGUAAAGCUCUGUCAGAAGGAAAGAAGUGUUAUAUGUUUAAUACGCAUAUAAUUUGACGGUACCUUCAGAGGAAGCACCGGCUAACUCCGUGCCAGCAGCCGCGGUAAUACGGAGGGUGCAAGCGUUGUUCGGAAUUACUGGGCGUAAAGGGCGCGUAGGCGGCUGGAUAAGUCAGAUGUGAAAGUCCAUGGCUCAACUGUGGAAGUGCAUUUGAAACUGUCCGGCUUGAGUAUCGGAGGGGAGUGUGG